GGAGGUAGUGACAAUAAAUCACAAUGCGGGACUAUCAGUCUUGCAAUUGGAUUGAGAACAAUGUACAACUCUUAUCGAUAAGCCAUUGGAGGGCAAGUCUGGUGCCAGCAGCCGCGGUAAUUCCAGCUCCAAUAGCGUAUAUUAACGUUGUUGCAGUUAAAAAGCUCGUAGUUGAAGUGUGGGUGAUCGCUAUUGUGAGACUUCGGUCUCUCGAUAGUAAGUCACCCCCUUCCAGUAUCCAGUAGUGGGUAUUCACUUACUUACUAUUGUGUGUUGGUCCUUUACUGUGAGAAAAUUAGAGUGUUCAAAGCAGGCGUUUGCUUGAAUAGAUUAGCAUGGAAUAAUAAUUGAAGGCUUUCGUGUUCGAUUUGAUUGGUUUGUUCAUGGAAGCAAGGUUAAAAGGAACAGUUGGGGGUAUUCAUAUUCACUAGUUAGAGGUGAAAUUCUCGGAUUUAUGGAAGAUGAACAAGUGCGAAAGCA
This 480-nucleotide ribosomal RNA is filed under the name Blastocystis sp. Its description in RNAcentral is "SSU rRNA". It matches the Rfam family "Eukaryotic small subunit ribosomal RNA", at positions 460 to 953 of the family's 1831-position model. Lineage: Eukaryota; Bigyra; Opalinata; Blastocystidae. The record is from RNAcentral.